AGGGUUACCGUCGUUUGGUAUGGUGAAGGUGACGGCGAAGUUGUGGAGGAUGAGUCGUUUGGCGAGCUCUGCGAGAGGGAUGAUAUGGCCAAUCCCUGGACUGGGUAGAAGGAUAACAUGGGGAAGAGCUUGCUGGUCAGCAGUUGCUUCCAUGGUCUG
This is a long non-coding RNA of Telopea speciosissima, 159 nucleotides long. RefSeq lists it as uncharacterized. NCBI's taxonomy places the organism in Eukaryota, Viridiplantae, Streptophyta, Magnoliopsida, Proteales, Proteaceae. The record is from RefSeq and is a predicted model, not a curated record. The transcript has 3 exons.